RNAcentral lists this ribosomal RNA (497 nucleotides) under uncultured bacterium. RNAcentral's name for it is "partial 16S ribosomal RNA". It matches the Rfam family "Bacterial small subunit ribosomal RNA", at positions 28 to 507 of the family's 1533-position model. The record is from RNAcentral.
GAUGAACGCUGGCGGCGUGCCUAACACAUGCAAGUCGAGCGAACAGACGAGGAUCUUUCUCCUCUGACGUUAGGGGCGGAUGGGUGAUUAACACGUGGGUAACCUACUUAUAAGACUGGGUUAACUUCGGGAUACCUGAUCUAACACCGGAUCAUAUAUUGAACCGGAUGGUUCAAUAGUCAAAGACGGUUUUGCUGUCACUAUUAGAUGGUUGGACGUCGGUGUAGCUAGUUGGUAGGGUAACGGCUUACCAAGGCUGCGAUGAGUAGCCGACCUGCGAGGACGAUCGGCCACACUGGGACGGAGACACGGCCCAGACUCCGACGGGAGGCAGCAGUGGGGAAUGUUGGACAAUGGGGGCAACCCUGAUCCAGCAAUGCCGCGUGGGUGAAGAAGGCCUUCGGGUUGUAAAGAACUUUUGUCCGGAAAGAAAUCGCGCUGGUUAAUACCUGGCGUGGAUGACGGUACCGGAAGAAUAAGCACCGGCUAACUACGUG